AGGAAGGAAUGGGGCAACGGUAGGUCAGCAUGCCCCGAAUUAUCUGGGCUACACGCGGGCUACAAUGGGUGGGACAAUGGGUAUCGACACCGAAAGGUGAAGGCCAAUCUCCUAAACCCAUCCGUAGUUCGGAUUGUGGGCUGCAACUCGCCCACAUGAAGCUGGAAUCUGUAGUAAUCGUGUCUCAAAAUGGCACGGUGAAUAUGUCCCUGCUCCUU
This 218-nucleotide ribosomal RNA is filed under the name uncultured Methanomicrobiales archaeon. RNAcentral's name for it is "partial 16S ribosomal RNA". It matches the Rfam family "Archaeal small subunit ribosomal RNA", at positions 1123 to 1338 of the family's 1478-position model. Lineage: Archaea; Methanobacteriati; Methanobacteriota; Methanomicrobia; Methanomicrobiales. The record is from RNAcentral.